UCUACGGGUGGCUGCAGUGAGGAAUAUUGGUCAAUGGGCUUACGCCUGAACCAGCCAAGUCGCGUGAGGGAAGACUGCCCUAUGGGUUGUAAACCUCUUUUGUCAGGGAGCAACGCCGGCUACGUGUAGCCGGACUGAGAGUACCCGAAGAAAAAGCAUCGGCUAACUCCGUGCAAGCAGCCGCGGUAAUACGGAGGAUGCGAGCGUUAUCCGGAUUUAUUGGGUUUAAAGGGUGCGUAGGCGGACUGGAAAGUCAGCGGUAAAAUCGAGAGGCUCAACCUCUUUCCGCCGUUGAAACUGUCGGUCGUGAGUGGGCGAGAAGUAUGCGGAAUGCGUGGUGUAGCGGUGAAAUGCAUAGAUAUCACGCAGAACUCCGAUUGCGAAGGCAGCAUACCGGCGCCCGACUGACGCUGAGGCACGAAAGCGUGGGUAUCGAACAGGAUUAGAUACCCGAGUAGUC
RNAcentral lists this ribosomal RNA (460 nucleotides) under uncultured bacterium. RNAcentral describes it as "partial 16S ribosomal RNA". It matches the Rfam family "Bacterial small subunit ribosomal RNA", at positions 338 to 795 of the family's 1533-position model. The record is from RNAcentral.